AUUAGAGAGGCCCCACUUAUUACUCACAGUGUAAAAUAAUUUGUUCCCCAGAGUGUUGUUCCUAAACUAAUGGCCCUUAUGUGACUUUUAAGAGGGUUAAAUACAGGGUUAUUCACCAAAAAUGAAAAUUAAAAGUGAAUUCCAAUAUUUUUAUAUUUUUUAUUCUUUAUUUUUGUUGUGAGAUACAAUUAAGCUUGACAUGCCACAACAGCAGCAACAAGCAUGACGAUAUUGAAUGUUAAACCGGCAUGGCAUGUGGAAAUUCUGCCUCUUUUUUAAAGGAUAUAAAGUAAACAGGAUAAACAGACAUGUCUAGUUCGGAUUGCUGAUAAGAGAUAAGUACCUAUUAUGGAUAGACGUUUUAACAUCAGUGGUAGUGAAUUUCAAAUUCAAGGUCAGAAUGUUAUCAGUUUGGCGGAAUUCUCACUUUAGUGAAUAACUGUUACUACCCAAAUGAUCAAAUUUUUGUAUUAUUCCUAUUGAAUUAAGCCAUUAAUUGAUAUGAGCCAUGAUGAACAGUUUGUUACAGUUUAAAUUACCAGUUAUUGAUAUAACAAGUUCUAAUGGAUUUGAAAAUCAAUCACCUGCUCUUGUCUUUGAAACAGUAAAGUGUUUUUUUUUUUUUUUAAUUGCUUUUUUUUUUAAUGUUUUGAAGAGAAAAUCAUGAAUCCUCUGGGAUAUCCAUCUGCAUACCUUUACAAAUAAAGAACCUGCUCUGUAUAUUUUCCUUUAAUUACAUCUUGGAUAUAAAGUAAAAUUCAUUAAUAAUAAAGGAUUCAAAUUUGAA
Molecule: long non-coding RNA, 787 nt
Organism: Pelobates fuscus (common spadefoot toad)
Lineage: Eukaryota; Metazoa; Chordata; Amphibia; Anura; Pelobatidae
Exons: 2
Source: RefSeq, a predicted model, not a curated record